Molecule: non-coding RNA, 30 nt
Filed under: Homo sapiens (human)
Lineage: Eukaryota; Metazoa; Chordata; Mammalia; Primates; Hominidae
Source: RNAcentral
UACACAGCAUUGGUUUGUAAUAAUCUGGUC